This 469-nucleotide ribosomal RNA is filed under the name uncultured bacterium. RNAcentral describes it as "bacterial SSU rRNA". It matches the Rfam family "Bacterial small subunit ribosomal RNA", at positions 28 to 496 of the family's 1533-position model. The record is from RNAcentral.
GAUGAACGCUGGCGGCGUGCCUAACACAUGCAAGUCGAGCGAGAAGCAGAGGUUAGAAGCUUCGGCAGAAAACAACUGUGGAAAGCGGCGGACGGGUGAGUAUCGCGUAGGCAACCUGCCCUGUACAGGAGGAUAGCCACAGGAAACUGUGAUUAAUACUCCAUAAAGCCGGAAGAUCACAUGAGAAACCGGCCAAAGAUUUAUCGGUAUGGGAUGGGCCUGCGUCUGAUUAGCUAGUUGGUGGGUAACGGCUCACCAAGGCUGCGAUCAGUAGCCGACCUGAGAGGGUAAUCGGUCACAUUGGAACUGAGACACGGUCCAAACUCCUACGGGAGGCAGCAGUGGGGAAUAUUGCACAAUGGGGGAAACCCUGAUGCAGCAACGCCGCGUGAAGGAAGAAGAUCUUCGGAUCGUAAACUUCUGUCCUUAGGGAAGAAAAAAAUGACGGUACCUAAGGAGGAAGCCCCGG